This 441-nucleotide ribosomal RNA is filed under the name uncultured bacterium. RNAcentral's name for it is "partial 16S ribosomal RNA". It matches the Rfam family "Bacterial small subunit ribosomal RNA", at positions 338 to 795 of the family's 1533-position model. The record is from RNAcentral.
CCUACGGGUGGCAGCAGUGGGGAAUAUUGCACAAUGGGGGAAACCCUGAUGCAGCGACGCCGCGUGAGUGAAGAAGUAUUUCGGUAUGUAAAGCUCUAUCAGCAGGGAAGAAGAAAGACGGUACCUGACUAAGAAGCCCCGGCUAACUACGUGCCAGCAGCCGGGGUGAUACGGAGGGGGCAAGCGUUAUCCGGGUUUACUGGGUGUAAAGGGAGCGUAGGCGGGUUUGGAAGUCUGAAGUGAAAGCCCAGGGCUCAAACCUGGGCCUGCUGUGGAAACUGUGGAGCUAGAGUGCGGGAGAGGUAAGUGGAAUUCCUGGUGUAGCGGUGAAAUGCGUAGAUAUUAGGAGGAACACCAGUGGCGAAGGCGGCUUACUGGACAGUAACUGACGUUGAGGCUCGAAAGCGUGGGGAGCAAACAGGAUUAGAUACCCUAGUAGUC